GGUAACGAAGGAGUCAUGUGUGUCUAAAAUAAGAGCUGCAGAGAAGAGAAUGUUUAGACAAGAAAGAAAAGGAUUAGAUUUAAACUGACAGGAGGAGAGUAGUAUAAAGUAACAUUUCAAAGUAUUUAGGCAAAAUCAUUUAGGGUGGAGAAAGAAAAUUUGGAUAAAGGCUUAGAUGAGAUGAGUUAUUCCCUACAGCUCAAUUAGCAAGUUUAUUGUUGAGAAUGCAAGUAAUUACAGGUGAGAUCAUAGGUUCAAUGCUUUCUUCAAACUACCAAACUAAAAAUACGGAAAUCAAGUAAAAAAU
This 307-nucleotide unclassified non-coding RNA is filed under the name Hevea brasiliensis (rubber tree). Lineage: Eukaryota; Viridiplantae; Streptophyta; Magnoliopsida; Malpighiales; Euphorbiaceae. The record is from RNAcentral.